GGGGGUAUAGCUCAGUGGUAGAGCGUGUGCUUAGCAUGCACAAGGUUCUGGGUUUAAUCCCCAGUACUCCGU
This 72-nucleotide transfer RNA is filed under the name Camelus bactrianus (Bactrian camel). It matches the Rfam family "tRNA". From Rfam's summary of the family: Transfer RNA (tRNA) molecules are approximately 80 nucleotides in length. Their secondary structure includes four short double-helical elements and three loops (D, anti-codon, and T loops). RNAcentral also lists the same sequence under 2 other names. Lineage: Eukaryota; Metazoa; Chordata; Mammalia; Artiodactyla; Camelidae. The record is from Rfam by way of RNAcentral.